Molecule: unclassified non-coding RNA, 375 nt
Filed under: soil metagenome
Description: partial contains 5.8S ribosomal RNA, internal transcribed spacer 2, and large subunit ribosomal RNA
Rfam family: 5.8S ribosomal RNA (bases 1-120)
Source: RNAcentral
GAUGAAGAACGCAGCGAAAUGCGAUAAGUAAUGUGAAUUGCAGAAUUCAGUGAAUCAUCGAAUCUUUGAACGCAUCUUGCGCUCCUUGGUAUUCUGAGGAGCAUGCCUGUUUGAGUGUCAUUAAAUUCUCAACUACACUGACUUUGAAUUGGUGUGGCUUGGAUUUGGGGGGAAAAUUGUUGUGGGCUUUUUGUAUAGUCUGCUCCCCUGAAAUUGAUUAGCGGUACCUUUGUGGAACUGUCUACAGGUGUGAUAAUUAUCUACAUCUUAGACAUCUGCUGGAAUGCUGCUUUCUAAACCUUACUUGUAUUGACAAUCUUGACCUCAAAUCAGGUAGGACUACCCGCUGAACUUAAGCAUAUCAAAAGCGGAGGA